AUGUGUGUGGAACAAUUGUCUCCAAUAAUCAUCCAACUGGUCCAGGCACACACGAGAUGCAUCGAGACCCUUGAUGCAGCUUCACCAGGGCCAUCUGAGAAACAACUGAUCAGAACUGUAUCUACUUUGGACAGUGCAUCACUCCCUGGUGGAAUCUAUAUGAUACUACAAAAGUGGUUGAUUCCGAACAUUUUACUAGCUCCUGGAUACUGUGGACAAGUCACUUGACCUCUCUGGGACGCAUCUUCCUCAUCUAUAAAAUGGGGGUAAGACAGACUAUGAGCCCUUUGUGGAGCAAAGCCUGUAUCUGAUCUCUUAACCUUUUAUGUACCCCAGUGCUUAGCACAUAGUAAGUGUAGAAGCAAUGAUUAAACACGAGAAGCAACAUGGCCUAGUGGACUCGGGCCUGUGAGUCGGAGUACCUGGAUUCAAAUCCUGGCUCUGCCACUUGCCCUCUUUGGGACCUUAGUCAAGUCACUUCGCUUCUCCGUGCCUCAGUUUCCUCAUCUGUAAAAUGAUGAUUCAGUACCCGUUCUCCUUCCUAGACUGUGAGCCCCAUGUCUGACCUGCUUAUCUUCUAUCUAUCCCAGCACUUAAUACACUGCUUGGCACAUUGUAAUUGCUUAAAAAUGCCACUGUUAUUAUUGUUGUUGUUGCAUGCCACAGUUAUGAUCAUUUAA
This 680-nucleotide long non-coding RNA is filed under the name Ornithorhynchus anatinus (platypus). RNAcentral's name for it is "lncRNA (ENSOANG00000043587.1)". Lineage: Eukaryota; Metazoa; Chordata; Mammalia; Monotremata; Ornithorhynchidae. The record is from RNAcentral.